Non-coding RNA from Canis lupus familiaris (dog), 104 nucleotides. The record is from Rfam. NCBI's taxonomy places the organism in Eukaryota, Metazoa, Chordata, Mammalia, Carnivora, Canidae.
AGGAGGAACAGCCCCAGUGGCGGGGCAGCUCUGGAAACCUGGAUUCACCCCCUGCAGGAACUCCGGAGGUCUCAGUCUGCAGGGCCUGGAGGCUCCCGGGCGGG